CCCUUAGAUGUUCUGGGCCGCACGCGCGCUACACUGAUGCUUUCAACGAGUUUUUCCCUUGAUAGAGAUGUCUGGGUAAUCUUUUGAAUGAGCAUCGUGCUAGGGAUAGUUUAUUGCAAUUAUUAAACUUGAACGAGGAAUUCCUAGUAAACGCAAGUCAUCAGCUUGCAUUGAUUACGUCCCUGCCCUUUGUACACACCGCCCGUCGCUCCUACCGAUUGAAUGUUCCGGUGAGCUCUUCGGACUGCGCGGUCUGCAGUUUCUGCGUUCCGUGCGGAAAGUUGCGCAAACCUUAACAUUUAGAGGAAGGAGAAGUCGUAACA
RNAcentral lists this ribosomal RNA (323 nucleotides) under uncultured eukaryote. RNAcentral describes it as "partial 18S ribosomal RNA". It matches the Rfam family "Eukaryotic small subunit ribosomal RNA", at positions 1470 to 1796 of the family's 1831-position model. The record is from RNAcentral.